CAGUAGCCACGGGAAUACGUAGGUGGCAAGCGUUGUCCGGAAUUAUUGGGCGUAAAGGGCUCGCAGGCGGUUUCUUAAGUCUGAUGUGAAAGCCCCCGGCUCAACCGGGGAGGGUCAUUGGAAACUGGGAAACUUGAGUGCUGAAGAGGAGAGUGGAAUUCCACGUGUAGCGGAGAAAUGCGUAGAGAUGUGGAGGAACACCAGUGGCGAAGGCGACUCUCUGGUCUGUAACUGACGCUGAGGAGCGAAAGCGUGGGGAGCGAACAGGAUUAGAUACCCCGGUAGUCCCUGUCUCUUAUAC
RNAcentral lists this ribosomal RNA (301 nucleotides) under uncultured bacterium. RNAcentral's name for it is "partial 16S ribosomal RNA". It matches the Rfam family "Bacterial small subunit ribosomal RNA", at positions 509 to 807 of the family's 1533-position model. The record is from RNAcentral.